This 341-nucleotide ribosomal RNA is filed under the name uncultured fungus. Its description in RNAcentral is "eukaryotic LSU rRNA". The stretch from base 1 to 71 matches the Rfam family "5.8S ribosomal RNA", at positions 84 to 154 of the family's 154-position model. The record is from RNAcentral. Lineage: Eukaryota; Fungi.
GUGAGUCAUCGAAUCUUUGAACGCAAAUUGCGCUCCUUGGUAUUCCGAGGAGCAUGCCUGUUUGAGUGUCAUGAAAUCAUCCACCCUGACUUUUGGUUAAUUCCAUCGGUCUUGGCUGGGACUUGGGCGCUUGCCUCUGAUGAAGCGGCUCGCCUUAAAAUGAUUUCGGAUUGACUCUGUCUGCAGUCGGUUUGACUUGGCGUUAUAAGUUAUUUCGCUAAGGACAUCUUCGGAUGGCCGAUCAAUGAUAGCUGUCUUGCGCUGCGUGUGUCUCACACUACCAGUGCGCUCCAUCUUUGACAUCUGGCCUCAAAUCAGGUAGGACUACCCGCUGAACUUAA